Molecule: small nuclear RNA, 101 nt
Organism: Mandrillus leucophaeus (drill)
Lineage: Eukaryota; Metazoa; Chordata; Mammalia; Primates; Cercopithecidae
Source: Ensembl
CUGCUCACUUCAUCAGCACAUACACUAAAUUGGAACGAUACAGAGAUUAGCAUGACCCCUGACGCACAAAUACGUAAAGCAUUCCAUAGAAAUUUUUUUUU